UUUGAUAGUUCACUACAACCACUAUCCGCCCGGGUACUACGAGCACUAGCUUAAAACCCAAAGGACUUGGCGGUGCUUUAGAUCCACCUAGAGGAGCCUGUUCUAGAACCGAUAACCCCCGUUAAACCUCACCCUCUCUUGUUCUUCCCGCCUAUAUACCGCCGUCGUCAGCUUACCCUGUGAAGGGACCACAGUGAGCARAACUAGUACAACUCAAAACGCCAGGUCGAGGUGUAGCAUAUGAGAGGGAAAGAAAUGGGCUACAUUCCCUGCCUCAGGGAAUACGAACAAUGUAAUGAAAUGUGCAUUARAAGGAGGAUUUAGCAGUAAGCAGAAAAUAGAGUG
RNAcentral lists this ribosomal RNA (345 nucleotides) under Iranocichla hormuzensis. RNAcentral describes it as "partial 12S ribosomal RNA". It matches the Rfam family "Bacterial small subunit ribosomal RNA", at positions 801 to 1356 of the family's 1533-position model. The record is from RNAcentral. Lineage: Eukaryota; Metazoa; Chordata; Actinopteri; Cichliformes; Cichlidae.